RNAcentral lists this ribosomal RNA (483 nucleotides) under uncultured bacterium. RNAcentral's name for it is "partial 16S ribosomal RNA". It matches the Rfam family "Bacterial small subunit ribosomal RNA", at positions 28 to 523 of the family's 1533-position model. The record is from RNAcentral.
GACGAACGCUGGCGGCGUGCUUAACACAUGCAAGUCGAACGAUGAAGCUGGAGCUUGCUCCGGUGGAUUAGUGGCGAACGGGUGAGUAACACGUGAGCAAUCUGCCCUUGACUCUGGGAUAACUGCGGGAAACUGUAGCUAAUACCGGAUACGAGAUUUGGAGGCAUCUCCGGAUCUGGAAAGAAUUUCGGUCAAGGAUGAGCUCGCGGCCUAUCAGCUUGUUGGUGAGGUAAUGGCUCACCAAGGCGACGACGGGUAGCCGGCCUGAGAGGGUGACCGGCCACGCUGGGACUGAGGAACGGGCCAGACUCCUACGGGAGGCAGCGGUGGGGAAUAUUGCACAAUGGGCGGAGGCCUGUUGCAGCAACGCGGCGUGAGGGAUGAAGGCCUUCGGGUUGUAAACCUCUUUUGGUAGGGAAGAAGCGAAAGUGACGGUACCUACAGAAAAAGCACCGGCUAACUACGUGCCAGCCGCCGCCGUAA